RNAcentral lists this unclassified non-coding RNA (253 nucleotides) under uncultured Halomonadaceae bacterium. RNAcentral describes it as "contains 16S-23S intergenic spacer region". It matches the Rfam family "Bacterial small subunit ribosomal RNA", at positions 524 to 776 of the family's 1533-position model. The record is from RNAcentral. Lineage: Bacteria; Pseudomonadati; Pseudomonadota; Gammaproteobacteria; Oceanospirillales; Halomonadaceae.
UACAGAGGGUGCAAGCGUUAAUCGGAAUUACUGGGCGUAAAGCGCGCGUAGGUGGCUUGAUAAGCCGGUUGUGAAAGCCCCGGGCUCAACCUGGGAACGGCAUCCGGAACUGUCAGGCUAGAGUGCAGGAGAGGAAGGUAGAAUUCCCGGUGUAGCGGUAAAAUGCGUAGAUCUCGAGAGGAAUACCGGUUGCGAAGGCGGCCUUUUGGCCUACAACUGACGCUGAGGCGCGAAAGCGUGGGGAGCAAACAGG